RNAcentral lists this ribosomal RNA (238 nucleotides) under uncultured bacterium. Its description in RNAcentral is "partial 16S ribosomal RNA". It matches the Rfam family "Bacterial small subunit ribosomal RNA", at positions 338 to 593 of the family's 1533-position model. The record is from RNAcentral.
CCUACGGGAGGCAGCAGUGGGGGAUAUUGCACAAUGGGGGCAACCCUGAUGCAGCGACGCCGCGUGAGCGAUGGAGUACUUCGGUAUGUAAAGCUCUGUCAGCAGGGAAGAGAAUGACGGUACCUGACCAAGAAGCCCCGGCUAAAUACGUGCCAGCAGCCGCGGUAAUACGUAUGGGGCAAGCGUUAUCUGGAUUUAUUGGGUUUAAAGGGUGCGCAGGUGGAGGUGAAAGUCAGUG